RNAcentral lists this ribosomal RNA (1085 nucleotides) under Lactiplantibacillus plantarum. RNAcentral's name for it is "bacterial SSU rRNA". It matches the Rfam family "Bacterial small subunit ribosomal RNA", at positions 66 to 1139 of the family's 1533-position model. Lineage: Bacteria; Bacillati; Bacillota; Bacilli; Lactobacillales; Lactobacillaceae. The record is from RNAcentral.
GCUUGCAUCAUGAUUUACAUUUGAGUGAGUGGCGAACUGGUGAGUAACACGUGGGAAACCUGCCCAGAAGCGGGGGAUAACACCUGGAAACAGAUGCUAAUACCGCAUAACAACUUGGACCGCAUGGUCCGAGCUUGAAAGAUGGCUUCGGCUAUCACUUUUGGAUGGUCCCGCGGCGUAUUAGCUAGAUGGUGGGGUAACGGCUCACCAUGGCAAUGAUACGUAGCCGACCUGAGAGGGUAAUCGGCCACAUUGGGACUGAGACACGGCCCAAACUCCUACGGGAGGCAGCAGUAGGGAAUCUUCCACAAUGGACGAAAGUCUGAUGGAGCAACGCCGCGUGAGUGAAGAAGGGUUUCGGCUCGUAAAACUCUGUUGUUAAAGAAGAACAUAUCUGAGAGUAACUGUUCAGGUAUUGACGGUAUUUAACCAGAAAGCCACGGCUAACUACGUGCCAGCAGCCGCGGUAAUACGUAGGUGGCAAGCGUUGUCCGGAUUUAUUGGGCGUAAAGCGAGCGCAGGCGGUUUUUUAAGUCUGAUGUGAAAGCCUUCGGCUCAACCGAAGAAGUGCAUCGGAAACUGGGAAACUUGAGUGCAGAAGAGGACAGUGGAACUCCAUGUGUAGCGGUGAAAUGCGUAGAUAUAUGGAAGAACACCAGUGGCGAAGGCGGCUGUCUGGUCUGUAACUGACGCUGAGGCUCGAAAGUAUGGGUAGCAAACAGGAUUAGAUACCCUGGUAGUCCAUACCGUAAACGAUGAAUGCUAAGUGUUGGAGGGUUUCCGCCCUUCAGUGCUGCAGCUAACGCAUUAAGCAUUCCGCCUGGGGAGUACGGCCGCAAGGCUGAAACUCAAAGGAAUUGACGGGGGCCCGCACAAGCGGUGGAGCAUGUGGUUUAAUUCGAAGCUACGCGAAGAACCUUACCAGGUCUUGACAUACUAUGCAAAUCUAAGAGAUUAGACGUUCCCUUCGGGGACAUGGAUACAGGUGGUGCAUGGUUGUCGUCAGCUCGUGUCGUGAGAUGUUGGGUUAAGUCCCGCAACGAGCGCAACCCUUAUUAUCAGUUGCCAGCAUUAAGUUGGGCACU